GCUUACAGGCCAUUACCAGCCUCAACACGCCCGAUCUCGUCUGAUCUCGGAAGCUAAGCAGGCUUGGGCCUGGUCAGUACUUUGAUGGGAGACUGCCUGGGAAUACCAGGUGCUGUAAGCU
Cyclopterus lumpus (lumpfish) is the source of this 121-nucleotide ribosomal RNA. The record is from Ensembl. Lineage: Eukaryota; Metazoa; Chordata; Actinopteri; Perciformes; Cyclopteridae.